AGUUGAACCCCGAUGCAGGCGAACAUGAACUGGAGGAGGGUGGUGACUAUCAUGAUGUUACCGAUAGUGCGGAUAGCAACAAACACACACUGGACGACAUGCUGGGAAAACAGAGAUUUUUACCUUUAGCCCCUUGGCUCGGUUAAUGGCUCUCAGUGGACGUAACACUCUCAGUACACGGAGAAUCUUUACCACCGAGAUGGCACUUGAGCUGCAGAGAUCAUUACAUAGAGUUAAGUAAAGCACGAACAUAAUAUAUCUACUAAAAAUCCUUUAAGAACAGAGGUCACAUUUUGCAGCAACGUGAAAACAUUCUGCAUUGGAUUUUUCCUAUGAAUUCCCUUAAAUAACGUCAUUCUUGCUAUUGUUCCCUUUACCAGCGGGGGAUAUUCCAAAAAUAAACUGCAAACCAUUGCCCUAAA
Molecule: long non-coding RNA, 422 nt
Organism: Bufo gargarizans (Asiatic toad)
Lineage: Eukaryota; Metazoa; Chordata; Amphibia; Anura; Bufonidae
Exons: 2
Source: RefSeq, a predicted model, not a curated record